GGAGUGUGGCCCUCAAAAUAGGCAUGGGCUCAGAAGAUAAGGCCAAUAGAAAGGUCCAAGUUGACUAAACCCAAAGGAAAUAGUUGACUCAAUCGGAGGCAUUGGAUGUAAUUACCUAUGCAUGUCAACACAAUCACAAGGGUGAGAUUUAAAGAUGCAUGAUAACUAGAAUAGGGCUCCCUGUACAGGGCCCCAGAGUCAAUGCAAAAGUCAGAAGAUCUCAGGGCUGACUGAGACUAACGUGACCGAUAAUGAGAGAGUGAGGGAGAGGGUAUUUAAGUUAAGAGUCAAGCUGACUCUCUUCAUUUAGAAAAAGAUUACUCUUUCUUCAUCUUUUCUUCUCUCUGCCUCUCUCCUCUCUUAAACACGCAAACUAAAAAAUCACACCACCAAAAUGGAUCAAACGCCAAACAAAACAAGAACAAACAAAGAACACACAUGAAUGUUCUUUGUCCCCUUUUCCAGAAAUCAACCAAACCUACCCAGAUUACCAAAUAGUGAACAUGAAACCUACCUAAAAUGAGAUUCUAAACUCGAACCUGGGAUAAAAAACAACAAUUAAAAUAGAAACAUACCGAAUUGGACCAAGCCUCGUGAUUACUACAAACCCUAGAUCCAAAAAUUAAAGCACAUACACCAAGAAUUAAGCAUGAUAAUUAUGGGGGGAAACAUCAACAACAUACAACGAUCAUGAAUCAACAAAAAAAGCAAGGAAAAGAGAAGAAAUAUGCUCGCUGAAAUCUUGAGGAAUCUGGAUUUUCAAGAUUUCGGCAAGAGCUUCCGGCAAACCUUUACAAUUUUUCGACGAACUAAGAGACCUUAGGGAUGAAGGUUGAGCUCAACCUUAUUAGAGCUUCAAUGUGAAUCUCUAAUGGCUUAUAAGAGAUGGGUUUUAGUGAAUGGUUUAUGUCAGAGUAUUGCAGGGUUACAGAUUCUCUUUACUCAGAGGUGGGAUUGUAACUUUGUUACUCGUGUGAAGUAUUGUUGACUUCGUGGGAUCCUUGAGAGUGAGGAGUGUGUGAUGAAUUUGCAAGUUAUAAAUUAAGAUGUUUGUAAAAGUUUGUUGUUGGUUUUGUGGGAAUUUUAUGAAGAGUGGAGAGUGACCCGUGGGAGGUUGUGUAAAGGUCCAUUGAAAACUUCUAAAUUUAAUUCUCAAUAUAACUUGAUUUAAAUUCUCAAUGUAACAUGUAGUAUUAUUUAUUAAUGGAAUUAAAUAGUUUUGAUA
Long non-coding RNA from Lathyrus oleraceus (garden pea), 1225 nucleotides. RefSeq lists it as uncharacterized. The record is from RefSeq and is a predicted model, not a curated record. The transcript has 2 exons. NCBI's taxonomy places the organism in Eukaryota, Viridiplantae, Streptophyta, Magnoliopsida, Fabales, Fabaceae.